AGAUGAACGCUGACGGCGUGCCUAACACAUGCAAGUCGAACGGAGUUCUUAAGGAAUGCGACUUCGGUCAAAUGACUUUUGAACUUAGUGGCGGACGGGUGAGUAACGCGUGAGCAACCUGCCUUUCAGAGGGGGAUAACAUUUGGAAACAGAUGCUAAUACCGCAUAAGAUUACAGUACCGCAUGAUACAGUGAUCAAAGGAGCAAUCCGCUGAAAGAUGGGCUCGCGUCCGAUUAGAUAGUUGGUGAGGUAACGGCUCACCAAGUCGACGAUCGGUAGCCGGACUGAGAGGUUGAACGGCCACAUUGGGACUGAGACACGGCCCAGACUCCUACGGGAGGCAGCAGUGGGGAAUAUUGCACAAUGGGCGAAAGCCUGAUGCAGCAACGCCGCGUGAGGGAAGACGGUUUUCGGAUUGUAAACCUCUGUUUUCGGUGACGAACAAAUGACGGUAACCGAGUAGGAAGCCACGGCUAACUACGUGCCAGCAGCCGCGGUAAUACGUAGGUGGCAAGCGUUAUCCGGAAUUACUGGGUGUAAAGGGAGCGCAGGCGGGAUAGCAAGUCAGCUGUGAAAACUAUGGGCUCAACCCAUAAACUGCAGUUGAAACUGUUAUUCUUGAGUGGAGUAGAGGCAAGCGGAAUUCCGAGUGUAGCGGUGAAAUGCGUAGAUAUUCGGAGGAACACCAGUGGCGAAGGCGGCUUGCUGGGCUCUAACUGACGCUGAGGCUCGAAAGUGUGGGGAGCAAACAGGAUUAGAUACCCUGGUAGUCCACACUGUAAACGAUGAUUGCUAGGUGUGGGGGGUCUGACCCC
RNAcentral lists this ribosomal RNA (816 nucleotides) under uncultured bacterium. RNAcentral describes it as "bacterial SSU rRNA". It matches the Rfam family "Bacterial small subunit ribosomal RNA", at positions 26 to 840 of the family's 1533-position model. The record is from RNAcentral.